RNAcentral lists this ribosomal RNA (613 nucleotides) under Salmonella enterica. Its description in RNAcentral is "partial 23S ribosomal RNA". It matches the Rfam family "Bacterial large subunit ribosomal RNA", at positions 2202 to 2814 of the family's 2925-position model. Lineage: Bacteria; Pseudomonadati; Pseudomonadota; Gammaproteobacteria; Enterobacterales; Enterobacteriaceae. RNAcentral also lists the same sequence under 1 other name. The record is from RNAcentral.
ACCCUUUAAUGUUUGAUGUUCUAACGUGGACCCGUGAUCCGGGUUGCGGACAGUGUCUGGUGGGUAGUUUGACUGGGGCGGUCUCCUCCUAAAGAGUAACGGAGGAGCACGAAGGUUGGCUAAUCCUGGUCGGACAUCAGGAGGUUAGUGCAAUGGCAUAAGCCAGCUUGACUGCGAGCGUGACGGCGCGAGCAGGUGCGAAAGCAGGUCAUAGUGAUCCGGUGGUUCUGAAUGGAAGGGCCAUCGCUCAACGGAUAAAAGGUACUCCGGGGAUAACAGGCUGAUACCGCCCAAGAGUUCAUAUCGACGGCGGUGUUUGGCACCUCGAUGUCGGCUCAUCACAUCCUGGGGCUGAAGUAGGUCCCAAGGGUAUGGCUGUUCGCCAUUUAAAGUGGUACGCGAGCUGGGUUUAGAACGUCGUGAGACAGUUCGGUCCCUAUCUGCCGUGGGCGCUGGAGAACUGAGGGGGGCUGCUCCUAGUACGAGAGGACCGGAGUGGACGCAUCACUGGUGUUCGGGUUGUCAUGCCAAUGGCACUGCCCGGUAGCUAAAUGCGGAAGAGAUAAGUGCUGAAAGCAUCUAAGCACGAAACUUGCCCCGAGAUGAGUUCUCC